UGUCAAUAAAUGGAUUGGUUGAAUAAUACACAUCAAUCAAUAAUAUAAAUAUUUUUCUUUAUUUUUCCAGUAUGAUGGUGAAAUUAGAGUCCUGUAUUCGACCAAAGUGUCCCCCUCCUUAACUUCUAAAAAGUGGGGCACCAGAGAGCUGCAGGUGAAGCCUGGUGAAUCUCUUGAAGUUAUACAAAGCACUGACGAUACAAAAGUUCUCUGCAGAAAUGAAGAAGGAAAAUAUGGUUAUGUCCUUCGGAGUUACUUGGUGGACAAUGAUGGAGAGAUCUAUGAUGAUAUUGCUGAUGGUUGCAUCUAUGACAAUGACUAGAUAUCAGCCUUGUUCAUUUUGUUAUGUUCAUUUGAUGCCAAAAUGAAGUCUGAGUUUUAAUUGACAUGGGAUUGGAUAUCAUAGAAAAUGAAUGCACACAACUACUUAUUACCAUUGAAUAUAAAAUUCUGAUUAUCUUUAUGAAGUUUUGAAGCUUUCUACUUAGAAAAUGAUCUUAAUAUCUUGGAAGACUGCAUCGAUGAGAUGUAAGAAUUACUGAAUAUCUCAUCUGCUCAGCUUCGUGUUGAAGGCGCUUCUUUUAGACCAUCAGUAGACAACCUCCCCUCCCUAAAA
Molecule: long non-coding RNA, 616 nt
Filed under: Ursus maritimus (polar bear)
Lineage: Eukaryota; Metazoa; Chordata; Mammalia; Carnivora; Ursidae
Description: lncRNA (ENSUMAG00000007625.1)
Source: RNAcentral